This 220-nucleotide unclassified non-coding RNA is filed under the name plant metagenome. RNAcentral's name for it is "partial contains small subunit ribosomal RNA, internal transcribed spacer 1, and 5.8S ribosomal RNA". The record is from RNAcentral.
UUUCCGUAGGUGAACCUGCGGAAGGAUCAUUACAGAGUUCAUGCCCUCACGAGUAGAUCUCCCACCCUUGAAUAUUUAUACCUUAGUUGCUUUGGCAGGUCGUGGAAACACCAUGGGCUCCUGCUUAUGCGUGCCUGCCAGAGGAAACAAACUCUGUUUUUAGUGAAGUCUGAGUACUAUAUAAUAAUUAAAACUUUCAACAACGGAUCUCUUGGUUCUG